Molecule: ribosomal RNA, 253 nt
Filed under: uncultured bacterium
Lineage: Bacteria
Description: partial 16S ribosomal RNA
Rfam family: Bacterial small subunit ribosomal RNA
Source: RNAcentral
UACAGAGGGUGCGAGCGUUGUCCGGAAUCACUGGGCGUAAAGGGCGCGUAGGCGGCUUGAUAAGGUUGCGGUGAAAGCCCGGGGCUCAACCCCGGGUCGGCCGUGGCAACUGUCGAGCUGGAGCACUGUAGAGGCAGGUGGAAUUCCGGGUGUAGCGGUGGAAUGCGUAGAGAUCCGGAAGAACACCAGUGGCGAAGGCGGCCCGCUGGGCAGUGGCUGACGCUGAGGCGCGACAGCGUGGGGAGCAAACAGG